AAACUUUCAACAACGGAUCUCUUGGUUCUGGCAUCGAUGAAGAACGCAGCAAAAUGCGAUAAGUAAUGUGAAUUGCAGAAUUCAGUGAAUCAUCGAAUCUUUGAACGCACAUUGCGCCCCUCGGUAUUCCGGGGGGCAUGCCUGUCCGAGCGUCAUUA
This 158-nucleotide ribosomal RNA is filed under the name Toninia populorum. RNAcentral describes it as "5.8S ribosomal RNA". It matches the Rfam family "5.8S ribosomal RNA". Rfam says of the family: 5.8S ribosomal RNA (5.8S rRNA) is a component of the large subunit of the eukaryotic ribosome. It is transcribed by RNA polymerase I as part of the 45S precursor that also contains 18S and 28S rRNA. Functionally, it is thought that 5.8S rRNA may be involved in ribosome translocation. The record is from RNAcentral. Lineage: Eukaryota; Fungi; Ascomycota; Lecanoromycetes; Lecanorales; Ramalinaceae.